Molecule: ribosomal RNA, 655 nt
Filed under: uncultured fungus
Lineage: Eukaryota; Fungi
Description: eukaryotic LSU rRNA
Rfam family: 5.8S ribosomal RNA (bases 148-302)
Source: RNAcentral
GCUGGCUAGGUGAUUCUAGCAUAGUGCACGUCUACACUUUUAUUACACCUGUGAACCCUAUUGUAGAUAACCCUCGCGAGAGGAUUCUAUGUAUUCAAUCAUCUCAUAUACAAAGCAUGUCAAUUAGAAUGUAAAACCAAAUUAUACAACUUUCAGCAAUGGAUCUCUUGGUUCUCGCAUCGAUGAAGAACGCAGCGAAUUGCGAUAAGUAAUGUGAAUUGCAGAUUUUCAGUGAAUCAUCGAAUCUUUGAACGCACCUUGCGCUCUUUGGUAUUCCGAAGAGCAUGCCUGUUUGAGUGUCAUUUAAUUAUCAACCAUAAAAGGGUAAUACUUUUUUUUGGCUUGGACUUGGGAUUUGCUGGCUUUCGGUAGUCGGCUUUCCUUAAAUGCAUUAGCAAGUGUUAGUCUACAUGGCACGGCCUUUGACGUGAUAAUGAUCGUCGUUCGCUGGAAGUGUUAGGGUCUUGCUUAUAGAAACCAACCGGUAGGCAUUAAUGAAUUUAUGUUGGCACGGCUUGAUCGCUGGAAGCAUAGUAGUGAUACUGUGUGGCACGGCCCUGAUAGCUGGAAGACACUAAUGAAUUUAUGUUGGCACGGCACAAUUUUGACCUCAAAUCAGGUAGGACUACCCGCUGAACUUAAGCAUAUCAAUAAG